AGAAAAGAGGCACACACAGAAAACAACCUACCCUGCUAUAACAGAACACUGUUCUACAUAGGGCCAGAUGUACGUUGGCAGAACAGUGAUUUUAAGGAUGAAUUAGUGUUCUAACCUCGUUGGGAUUCCCUUUAUAUUUGUGGUGGUUUAUGACUGAUGUUUAAUGGAACUAUAGCUUUCUGUUUAUAUUUAAUAGAAGACUCAUUUCUGUGGUGGGAUACACAUUUACACUCCAGAGUUGAAUAAAAGCUACCAUUCUACAAGGAGGAUAUUAAAUGUUGAUUUAUAAUGACACAUUUCAAUAACAGUGACCUAAUGCUUCCACACUGUUUCUUCCCAGGUCCUGGGAAGAGCCUGGCUCCAGCAAAGGAUGAUUCUUCUCGUCCAGAACAUUUCUCCUUCAACACAUCUCUCCAUGCUGCAAUUAGACACAGGAAUUGGAAACUUCUCACCGGCUACCCAGGCUGUGGUUGCUGGUUUCCUCCACCGUCUCAAAACAAUGUUUCUGUGAUACCCUCAUCGGACCCACCGACCAAGACCCUCUGGCUCUUUGAUAUUGACCAGGACCCGGAAGAAAGACACGACCUGUCAAGAGAGCAUCCCCAUAUUGUCAGGCAGCUCCUUUCCCGCCUGCAGUUCUACCACAAACACUCGGUGCCCGUGCACUUCCCGGCGCAGGACCCGCGCUGUGACCCCAAGGGCACUGGGGCCUGGGGCCCGUGGAUGUAGGACUUCUGCAGCCCUGGGGAGCCAGACCACCUUUCUGUUACAAGUUGGACUUCAGGCUUUUACUCCUGUACCUCUCGUCUCAUUUGCUCUCCCAGCCUGGGUUCCCCUGGCCCUUCUCUUGUUCCUCAACCACGCUGAGGUGUCUCAUUGCAACCCCCAGCGCAUUUAAAAGCUGAUAAAACCUGGAACACUCCUGUUGUUGGCCAGGGUGUGUGUCUAGGGGAGAGGGUGGCUGAGUUCAAUCUCUUGCUCCUGAGCCGUGGGACAGCUAGGAACUUGACUUGGAAUAGGAGGUUCUCACUGAGUCCUGGAGGCUGGAACAGCUGGCUCUUUUUGCCUCACAAGUCAGAUGUUAGAUCUCCCUCUGCCAAUAGCUGGGUUUUAUUGGAGUGCCUCAUGUUUCUUGUAACAAAUGUAGGGAGCAGACUGUUUUUAAUGGUUCUGUUGGCCAGGGGAUCUCCCUGUCUGUGAGCUAUCAUGUUCAGGCAUUCCAUGUGAAUAACCCCCCUUGGUUCACCCCUCACUUACUCACCCUGUCACUCAUCUCAUCAUGGAGCAUAAGGCCCAUUUCAUAGUUACGGUCAGCAUGGCAAUAUGCCUGCUUCUUGGUUUUGGUUAUUACAGUAAAGAAAUGUGUUUUUAUCCCCAGUUUUUUGUUUUUUUUUUUUCCCCAGCCACUGCUCAUUUUGUCUAGACUUCCUGCUACCCCCCUCCCCUGUGGUUCUUUUCCUAACCUCCUUUUGACUCAGGCAUCCUGUGCCUGGGAAGGCUGCUUCGCCUCUCCACUCUGAGCACCACUGGUUUUUGGAAGACUGCUGUGCUCUAUCUUCCUUUUGCCUCUAACACUGAAGCUAGAGCCCUGCCCAGAGAAGGUGGUCAGGUCUGGCUCUGCAGGCCUGCUCGUGGUGGACAAGAAGUGGCCGAGUGGGUGAUGCUCAGGUCUGUGUCAUCUGUUUGGUGAAGACUUUUCUAAGUUGCAGAGUUUAUUUUCAUGAUCGUGGCUUUGUCUCGUAAUGUAUUAUGAGUUGCAUGCUAUUCCCUAGCAAUUAAGAGAAACCCCAGGAAACAAUAAUUUUGUCUUGGGAUGAUGGAAGUGGCAGUUUGAAAGGAAAUGGCCAGCAUCUGAGAUAUUGGGCCUCAGUAAAGCAAAGGAGACCACAUCCACGUUUCCCUUAUUUUCACUUUUACUGCUUGUGUUGAGGUUCUGGGGUGGGGGAAAGAGGAUGAGCAGUUUGACCCUCCAGCCCUUUCGCAGUCCCACUGAGGUCCUACUAAUGUGGAUCUGUCCAGAUUAGCUCUCAAGAGUGUCAGACUCAGAGAGCUAUGUGCAAAAACUAUACUCUUUUUCCCAAGAGCUCCACUGUUUUGUUCACUGCUCGUCACCAAUGCCUGGAUCAGUGCCUGUUACAAAGAAGGCAGUCAGUACUUUUUUUUUUUUUAACGAAUGAAUGGACAAUUGAACAAAAGAGAAAGUCGCACACCAUGCAAGUGCAGUGAGCUAAACACAUCCUCCAACUGUUGCUUUUCUGUUCUCAAGCUGCCCUCCUGGGGUAGGAACAGAGUCUGCCUAUCUGGAUGGUCACAGAUACUCCAUAGUGAAGCCAUAAUGUCCUCUCCAGGUGAGAAAAGGGGAAACACGCCUGCCAAAGAUACUCUUUUGGCAAUAAUCCUUCAUUCUCUUGUUUGUAGGACACUAGAAACUAAAGCCAGCCAACAAUGUGCUAUAGGUCCUUGUGUAACCAUCCUUCAAUUCAGUAGCAAUAUUUUCUGGUCGCCUCUAAUAUGUAUUGUAUUAAAAUAAGAUGAUUGGAAGGAAAUGGUGCUAGAACUAAAGACACCUAUUAUCAACCUCUACCCCACUCCUGGGGUGGCAACCGGUCAAAAUGCCAUCACCUACCACCCGCACACCUGUGGCAGAUACUAUGAACGAACUGAGCCCAGAUGUUCCUCUGGAUCCUUCUAAUCCCAGUGUCUAUUAAUACCAGAAGACUAGAGGCCAUCACUACGUGACACCCAUUCGCCCUCCCUGCUGUGCUCCCGGGGCCACCCCAGUUCUGUUGGUGGCCAAGUACAACGUGGAUGUUCUGCACUCAGUGGAUUUAAAGGGAGUUGUAAAAACUACUUGUUGUAAAACUUUUAUUUGAUAUUUUAUUUUAUCCAUAAUAGAAUAUAUCCCAUUAGUUUUCUUUAUUCUGUAUAAGGAUGUGAACAGAUUCAUAUUAAUGUUGUUUCUCUCCAAAUUUGCUCACCUUUAAAGAAAAGUUUCAUUGAUUUAAUGGUUUUUCUUUGUUACUACAUGAUUGUUCCAGAUCUGGGGAAUAAAAAGUUACUUUAUUCUUUAAAAUG
Non-coding RNA from Leptonychotes weddellii (Weddell seal), 3075 nucleotides. NCBI's taxonomy places the organism in Eukaryota, Metazoa, Chordata, Mammalia, Carnivora, Phocidae. The record is from RefSeq and is a predicted model, not a curated record.